Molecule: non-coding RNA, 357 nt
Filed under: Brugia timori
Lineage: Eukaryota; Metazoa; Nematoda; Chromadorea; Rhabditida; Onchocercidae
Description: Eukaryotic small subunit ribosomal RNA
Rfam family: Eukaryotic small subunit ribosomal RNA
Source: Rfam by way of RNAcentral
AAACUUUAAUAAAGAGUUUACUUAUUACUUUAUAUCAUGCUCAUUAUACUAAUUAUAAUUGUUGAUUAUCCAACGUGGAUAACUGUGGAAAUUCUAAAGCUAAUACAUGCGCCAAGGCUCCGAAUUUUAGACGUGCGCAUCUAUUAGAUUAAAACACCAAUCAGGUUAUUAAUUAAUCCGUUAAUUGAUGACUGUGAAUAGUUAUGGCUGAUCGCAUGGUCUUAUACUGGCGGCGUAUCUAUCAAGUAUUUUCAGCGAUAGUUUAUGUGCCUACCGUGGUUGUAACGGGUUGCGGAGAAUAAGGGUUCGAUUCCGAAGAGAGAGCCUGAGAAACGGCUACCACAUCCAAGUAAGGCA